GUCCCCGCCGGGGCCUCCGCCUCCCGCAGCCAUUCUUCACCCCCAAGUCAUCACCGGGACGCCGGUGGGCGUGCGCUCCCCUCUUAUCCCCUCUCUGGGAGCUGAGAAGCCGGAGCAGAGCUCCUGGAGGGUGGGGGCGUGGGAAGUAUUCGCAACGUGCCAAAGCGAGCGCAAACUCCACGGAGAUUCCGGGCUCGGAAGGCUAGCUGUUGGAUACUUCCUAGGGAGACUGCCUGGCUGGGGCGCUCAGGGUCUAGAAACUAGACUGUGGCCUGGAAGUCCAGGGUCCUAGACCGGAUUCAGUGGUCUGAUUUCGCGUGGGGACGUCCAACAGAUCACUGUCCUCUGUGGACCUCGGUUUCCCCAUCUGUCAGCCGAGGUCUUCCCACUGGGAGGCUGUCUCCUACUCUCUGAGGACACCCACCCUGGGAGCCGAGCCGCCAUGUUGUGAGGAAGCACAAGCCACACGGCAGAGGUGACAUGAGGUGACCUGGCCGAUACCUUCAGCUCAGCUCAGCUCAGCUUGGCUCUCGGGCAACAGCUGGCCUCAACCACUGGACAGGUGGUGAACUGAGCUGAUUCUGGCCCCAGCCUUUGAGUCUUCCAACCAAGGUCCCAGAUGUGGAGCAGAGACAAGCCAACCUCACUGUGCCCUGUCUGAAUUUCUCUCCCACAAAAACUGGGAGAUAAGAAGUGAUCAUUGAUGUUUUAAGCCAGCUGGACUCCAUCCUGCUUGGCUUGAAGUUCCCAGGCUUGGAGUCAGUGAAAGGGUGCCUGCUAGCUGCUAAUCUCAGCUCCAGAAGACCCCAGUUAACGCUGCUUCCCUGGCUCACCUUCUGACAUCCAGGAAUGCAGGCUUAUCCCCCAUAAGACUGCUCUUUAAUUAGAAGUGACUGGCUUGCGGGGACAGAAGACAUGGCCCCACGUCUCAGUGAAGCUCCCUGAUUUUCCUCUGGGAAACCACUGCUUCCCACCCUAGCUCCAAUGGAAGGAGAUGUGAAUGAAUUACUGUUGAACACCAGCCGAUCUACCAACCGCAGUGACUGGCUGAGGGAUGGGCCCGUGACUCCAGUUCAUCCCAGAGACUCAUUUUUGUGGGUUUGAUUUGAUUUGUAACAACCUUCAAAAAAGAACCUCUUUUGGCUUGUGUUCUGAAUGUUAUCUCCUCUAAUCCUUGGUAAUUUUGUCCUGCAUGAUUAUCUCCGUUAUAAAGACUGUUAGUGUGAGGUUUUUCUGCUUUUGAAGGUGGUUUUUGUAUGCAGGGAAUAGUUAUGUAGAGUUUUAAACAUUAAUGUGCAGUAAACUAAAAUUAUACAUUCAAAGCUCCAGUUCUUCCAUAGGCGUUUUUUCCCAUUGUUUUCAUUGUGAUUUAAAAAAAAAAAAAAAAACAACAUGUAACAUAACAUUUAUCUUCUUAACCAUCUUAAAGUUCAUUGUGCUCAGUCGCACCAGUUGUGUCUGACUCUUUGGGAUGCUAUGGACUGUAGCCCAGGAUAGAGGAGCCCAGGCUCCUCUGUUCAUGGGAUUCUCCACGCAAGAAUACUGGAGUGGAUUGCCGUGCCCUCCUCCAGGGGAUCUUCUGGACCCAGGGAUCGAACCUGUGUCUCCUGCGCCUCCUGCAUUGCAGACAAAUUGUUUAACGAGCCACCAUGAAGCCCUUCAAGUUCAUUAGUAUUAAGCAUAUGCACAUUGCUGUGAAGCAGUCCUCCAGACCUUUUUCAUCUUGCAAAACUGAAAAUCUGUACCCAUUAAACAACUCCCCUUUCCUACCUCUUCCCAGCCCCCCAGUAACCACCCAUCCAUUUUCUGCUUCCAUAAAUUUGACUUCUACAGGUGCCUCAAGCAAGAGAAAUCACACAAUUCUUGUCCUUUGGUGACUGGUUUAUUUCACUUACCAUAAUGUCCUCCAAGUUCAUCCAUGUUGUAGCAUGUGACAGGAAUUUUUCCAUGGGCUUUUAAGAUAGGCUGACACAUUUUUAUUAUUCUAAGUCAUUUUUACAAAUCUUGUUAUUCUUAUUUUAGCAAUCACUUUAAAGGACUCUUGAAUUCUAUUUUGCCCCUUUUUAAAACCUUGUUCAUUAAAUACUUUUGAGUAUUUAAAAUUGCAUUUGUAAAUGAGAUAUAUUUGUUUUCCUCCUUAAGUAUUUCCAUUUCCUCACUUAACAAACAAAACCUUCCUAACAUAGCCAAAUAAUUCUCAAAAAUCUAUGAAAUUAACUAGUAAUAUGAGCAUAGUUCUUCUUAAAUAUUCUAACACUUAACUACAUAAAAUGCUACAUUUUUCACAAUGUAAAAAUCCCAAGUCUUAAAUCAAUUAUGUAAUUAUACAUUUUAAAUUGGAGUAGAAAGCACUCACUCCAAAGACAAAAAUUCCUUGAACUUUGCAAAUAUAUAGGAUAUUAAAUUUUUAAAGAUUUGCUAAUGCAAAAAUAUUAAAAUAUAAUUUUGAUCUCCUUAAAUUUUGUUUCCCUACUUGAGUUCAAAUUUUCCUGGCGUUGAAUGGGGUGUGUCCCUUGGAAAACAAUGACAUCCCGUUAGCUGAGGUUAUUGAUGUUGAGGUUUUGCCAGGAUUCUACCUGGAUUCAGAUCCACGCUCCUUUUGGGAUGCACUAAAUCUUAUUUAUGGUUGCUAUAAUGUCAAUGCCUUCACAACUCAGAGUGGGUAGUGGUGAAGUCUCCUCACUACCCAUAUAUCCACAUUACGUGCAUUCAGAAAGCCAGCAACUGCCAAUUAGGUGGUCGAGAUUUCAUCUUCCUUUUUUUUCCGCCUUUACCUUUUCUCUCAAUUUUGUAUAUGUCUUCUUUUCUAGGUAGGAACUUAAUGAAAUUCGGCAUCACUCUUCCAUCCUUCCUGUCUCUUUCAUAUAUGUAUAACACAUGUGUAUGAAUGUAAUAUCCUACUGAGUAUUGUGGAUGUCUCACUUGGUUUGCUCUGUUUUGCAGUUACAUUGUGUGAUGCCGUAUCACUGGCACAGAUAAGGAAACUGAGGCCCAGAAAGCUUACUUGGCCUCUUCUAGGUCUCUCUGUGAGUCAGAGACAUGGCCGGGACUUGGUCUGUGUAUUAAGAUACCAGUGGUUGCUCUACUCCUCAUUGCAAAUGACAUGUUAGGCAUUUACAGGUCAGGGUAGAGAGUUUAUGUAACUCCUUUAAAAAUAACUACUCCAUCAGUCAAUCAACAACUAUUUAUUGAGCUUGUGCUCUGAGCCAGGCUGCUGCCACGGUAGAGCUCAUAACCUGGAGGAGACCCAUGUUGGCUGUUGGCAAAGAAUAGGGAGAGACACUCUGGGAAGUCAUAGCAGGGAGACUUAACCCAUUCAAAGGGGCCAAGAGGUUUCCCGGAGUGGCCUUGAAGGAGGGUAAAAAUUCAGUAGGCUGAGGUGUGUGGUCAAAAGCAUGGCUGGAAUGGGGGUGGAGAGAAGUCUAUGGAAGUCUUGAUCUCAAUGACACACUUCAGGAUUUUAGGAAAUAUAUUAAUAUGACUCAUGAAAAGACCCUGAUGCUGGGAAAGAUUGAAGGCAAAAGGAGAAGGGGGCAGCAGAAGAUGAGAUGGUUAGAUAGCAUCACUGACCCAAGGGACACGAAUUUGAACAAACUCUGGGAGACAAUGAAGGACAGGGGAGACUGGCAGGCUGCAGUCCAUGGGGUCGUAAAGAGUCAAACUUGACUUACCAACCAAACAACAAUGACAACAAAAUUGAUAUGCCAGUUAAGAUCACGAAAAAUAAAAAUUAGAAGAAAGAGUAUGAAAACCGAAGACACAGAGAGAAGCUGGGCAAAUGAUGAGUCAUUUUUAAUGUGAUCAUUCCUCUGUUAGGAGUGGCCAGGUCCUGCUCCCCAUCAAUUCUACCUUCAAGUCAACCUUCUCAGAUGUUAAAACUCCCAGUGCCAUCUCCUGCCUCAGGUUGGCAGGUGGAGAGAGACUUCCCUGAAGAGGAAGAGCAACAUGGCCAUCUCUCCCUCCCUUCCUUUCUUUCUCCUUCCCCUCUCUUUGGCAUCAGCUUUCUUGAGCUGCUACUAAGUGCCAGGAACUGUGCUAGUGGCUGGGUUACAAUAAUGAGCAAAAGCACAAGUUGUCCGUGUCCACCAAGAACCCAUGGCCAGGCCUGGAUGAGACGGUUAUGAAAAUCCUUCUACAAAAGAUUUUGGUGCAUGGAGUUUUUUGUUUGGUUGGUUGUUUUAUUGUGUACAGUGAACGUAAUACACAUAAAACUUGAACUCAUAUCCUCCAUCAAAUAAAAUUCUUUGACCUAAAUACUCCUUUAGGAAGUUUCUUCUUAUAAAGUUUCCAUGUAUUCUACCUUCAGAUUUUAAGGCCUCAUUCGUCAGAUAGAUAAACGCACACACAGAAGCAGGCAUGUGUAUUAAAGAGGCCACUGCAUGGAAAAUAGAUGAGGAAGAAAUAUCAAGAGAGCCUUAUCAAUCGGGAUAUCUUAUUAUCUUUAGAGAGAAUCCCAACCCCUGACUGCAAACAGAUAAGGGAGGAGAGAAGCAAUGAUAAAAGAGAAAUCGUUGUAAUAUUUUACUCUGUAUAAAGCCAGGUGGUGAGCUGUGUGUCUCCAGUAGCUUCUGGGGUGGAAUUCCUUUAUUCCGUUUAGAGGCCCUGACAUGUGUGGACAUGGGUGUACCCAGCGAUGUGGGCUGCUGUCCUUGGUCCCUGGCGUGCGUGUUGCCUGGCCUAUCGGCGCACAGCCCUGCUGUGGAUGUGGGCAGCAUCCGCUAUCUUCUGAGCCCAUCCAUAUGCAUGUGUGUCUAUAUCCCAGCCGUGGUCGGCAUCAUUCAUUUCCAAAACCAGCAUGCAUUCAUUUUCAUAACUUUUUGUUCCAUUACAAUAUUAAUGGGACUAUCAAUGGGAAAGGACAAGAGAAGCAUUUUUAAUGUUUAUCUGACAGUUGCAAAUUUCACUUGAGGUUGUUUACUGGGAUCUGAUUGUUGGCAGAGAGGAGCAGGAGAGGCGGCAAGAUUAAUGGGAUCACAGGAAGAGGAGAUGUAUUUAUGGGCCUUCUGAACACCAUCUAAGAGUAAUAAAAAGUCCUGCCGCACCCUUCCCCAAGUGAGACUUAAGAAGUUUUAAGCGCUGAGAAAUGAGGGAUUGUUUUAAUUAACUUCCAUCUAAUCCAGGUGGCCUGUUCAAAGUGAAUCAUGCUGCAUUUAUGUCUCAGUCUAUUAAAAAUUAGACACGGCCCUCUCCCAUCCCCCACCUCACAUCUCUCUCUCUCUCUCUCUCUCUCUCUCUUUCUGCCCCCGCCUCCGGUCCCCCUCUGGCCUUGGAUUGCUGUCAGUCUGGCUUGCCAUAUUUUUUCUCCUCUUUCUUAAACUCCUAUGCCAUCUCAAAGGGAGAGAGAGCCUGGUGGGGCCUUUGACCAGAAAGGCAGGAGAAAAGGAGAGGAGGAUU
This is a long non-coding RNA of Bubalus bubalis (water buffalo), 5394 nucleotides long. RefSeq lists it as uncharacterized. NCBI's taxonomy places the organism in Eukaryota, Metazoa, Chordata, Mammalia, Artiodactyla, Bovidae. The transcript has 5 exons. The record is from RefSeq and is a predicted model, not a curated record.